UCUAACCUUAAAUGCCUUGUUAGCCAAAAUAAAAAAAUACAUGUCUAAUGUUUUUCGAUGUACUGCAAAGUUUCAAGAAGAUCAGCGUGUGGCACUUAGAUAGUGUUAUUUGUGAGUAUAGCACUGCAAUCAGUGAAAUCGCUGAAAGAAUCGACUGAUAGCGGCGACUGUUCCCAUCAUUGAUGCAAUUUGCAAACAGGCAGUACACGCAAAUCACAUUGAAGUUGUUGAGGUAAAAGCGCCAAUGCCAGGACGCUAACACCAUUGGUGCCUGACUCUGGACAUUUUUAUUAUUUUAGUCUUUAAACAUAAAUAUUUUAACUUUCAAUAGAAUAUAUAUAUUCUACGCAAAAAGUUUACAUAUUCGUAUUUAAGAAUCAAAAUAACAAGAAUAUACAGAGUUUUACUUUUACCUUAAUUUUUCACUACCACAAACGCAAAAAGUUGGAUUUAAAGUUAUUAUCGUUAACAUUAUAAUAGGAUUGAAUAAAGAAUAGUUUCCUCGACCGCAAUAAUUUACAGCGAUUAUUUCUCUAUACGACUAUAGUUGAAAAUAUACGAACAACUUUUUUUCUCAAUGUGUAAUUUAAUCAGAAACAUUUUUACCGAUGCACUUUGAGAGAGGGAGAAAGAAAUUUCUCGCGUUGUUUUGCACAUAUAUACACACACACACACACACACACACACACUUGAUUCGCGAAAUCGUGAGCGCGAACGCUUUGGGAAACUUGAUACGGCCAGGAGCGGCUAUUUUGAAUUCGGCAUGCUUCGUGCAAGCUCAUCGAUCGAAGGCCACCUGGGCGGUAUCAGGAAAAGCGAACGUCAAAAGAAUUCGGUGACAUCGGCCGCGAAGCGACAUGCUUUUCUGCGGGAUGAUGUACGCGGACGAAAGCGGUCAGCCUGCUACAGCUCGAGCACGCUCGUAUUUUUAAACGAAUUACCUCACCGACGCAUUUUCGUUUUCGCGCUAACAAACACUGACACGUGGACGGUGCGCGUCUUGUUCUCGAGAUUCGUCGGUUCGAGCUUCUCGGCACACAACGUGCCUCGUCUUGCAUUCUCCGAGCGGUCGAAAAAGCGAUCGACGGCAUGCACCGCGGUUCUACCGCCGUUUGGAGAAACGACGGCGACUUGGCGUGACGUAAAUCCGUAAGGCGUGAUGCAAAUCAAUCCUCAAUCGGCGGCGGGAUGGAAAAUCGGCCGUGGAAAUUAUUUAAUUGGAGGCUUAACCCGGUCUACGACAUAAUCCGCGGCUAUUAGUGGCAUCUGAGUGCGUGGAUUAUCAAUAUGUACGCAAAUACAAUUUCAUCGAAACUAAUCCGCCGUUAAUACGGCCCCCGUGCGGAGGAACCGCUGGUGCAUUUUAAUUCAUUAAUGCGUGUAGUCUCGCGCACAGGGAGAAUAGAGUGAAGGAUGGCUUCUCGUGCGCCAUUCACGGACAAUUAAGUGCUCGCGGUUGUGUGAUAAAUCGCCGCCAAAGGCCGUGCUUGCUCUUACGACGCGAAAUGCAAGCGCGAUGCAUCGCGUCUGGUGCUUCUUCAUUUUUCGUCGCGCGAAACGAGCGGGACUGUAGAGCACCUAUUAAAAUGCAAAGCCCGGAAAAUUCUCUCGUAAAAUUUUACCUUCACGUUACGCUCAUUGAGAAGAAACUUACCGAAAGCAUCGAGUUCUCUCAUUCCCCUCUCUCUCUCUCUCUCUUUCUCUCUCACACUUACUCUCUCUUGUCCUUCGUCUAUCUCUUCUUUUCCUCUCUUCUAAACGAUAUAAAUAAUUGAGGGUCGUACGGUACCAGUCACAUGGCGUUGAUUUCUUGAAUACGCGCCAGGCACUCGACGUGGAUUUGAACAGAUUCGAUUGAAGGGCUCGGAGCAGACGCAGAGAGACAGAGAGAGAGAGAGAGAGAGAGAGAGAGAGAGAGAGAGAGAGAGAGGAGGGCCAAUAUACAUUCCUUCCAUGCGCCGAGAGCUCCGGAACUCGCAGAAUUCCUAAGCGUUCCGCAAUCCGAAAAUUCCCCGAGCUCAAUCGUGUAUCUCCGUCCUUCGGAGUCGCUGGAAUAUCGGCGAAUCGGCGGGCCAAGUCGAAGACUGAAGAAACGAGCGUCGCGCGGCAAUCCUCCCCCGCCGAUAUGUUUCAACGAAACGCGGGAUAUCAAUCGCCGGUCCGGCGAAAAAUGAACAGCCCCGCGUUGACCCCGCAAGAAUUCGCCGCGCGCUCGAGCUCAUCAAAUGGCAGUACAUCAUCCUCAUUCCCGCGCUUUCCCCCCGGCCCCUCUCCCUCGUCAAUUACGGAACAGCUCGAUCUCGAGACGACGAGAUCGACGGCGGAAUGUGCGGCGGGUUAAUAUCCGUUGUCGGGCUGGGCGAGAACACGGCGUCUGGUUUGUGUGAUGCCGAUAAUUUAGGGGGCGUCGACGGGGUUCUCUCGCGCCUCUUCCGUCACCUCGUGAACGCCCGACAGCUAGUCGACUUUCGUAGCGCGAGCUUGGCGAAUCGAAUUGAAUCGUUGCCGUUCGUAAGAUCGUUUAUUGCCCGCGAUCGCGACGAGUUAAGAAUCGAUCUAGACACUCGGGCGCGCUGUGGACGACGAUAUUUUCGCAACGCGGCCUGAGAGGGAGGGAGAGAGAGAGAGAGAGAGAGAGAGAGAAAAAAGAAAGAGAGAUAGAUGGACGGUGCGUGUGUGGUUGGUGAACUGCCAGUCACUCUUGCUUCUCGUGCGUGUUCUCCCGUGAAUUGGGUGGAUUUUCCGAUCAAUCCGAGCGAUCGCGAUGUAAUCAGAGUAACAGAGAGGAUAGUUGGGCGAGAUUGCAUCACUUUGCUUAAUUACAAUGGCGCCAAUUGAGGAGGAGAGCAGGCGCGGCCGUGCAACGAGUUGCCUGACCUUUCCAUUACGUUCCCCGGGAAAAGAUAAGCUACCUCCCUCCCUUUGGUCAUUUUGCGCAUUCGGUAUUAUCGUUCCAUCAUUAUUCUGUUAACUGCACGCUCUCGCGUGUUUCUUUGAAAAAAAAAAUAUUUCAGCCCCGAUAUAAAGCGCCACCUGACACGGGGGAUUUUUUUUUAAAUUAUUUUUAUAAGACUCCUCCUAUUGAGCGCUUUAAGCGAGGCCGAAUAUUCAUGCGAUAUCGACGCUGGGCGUCGAAUGGACUUCGUGGCUGGGAUAUCGGAUAUUGCAUAAAUAUCCGCGGAACGUGACUAUUCAAACUAGAUUUAUAUGGAUAUUUGUACGGGGCGUCGAUGUUACUGUAAUGGAUCGUGCAUGGCGAUCGACUCCGGCUUGAAAAAUACACACACCGGUGCGACAAACGAGCUUUGCGCGCAGCAAGCUUUAUCGACUACUUUGCGGAGGAAGGAAGGGAAUCGCGCGAAUCGCUCUCGAAAUAUCGUAUUGUUCAAUUAGGAGACUGUCAAUUUCUCGACACCGGAUAUUAACUCUGACGGUCGUUUAUUUUGUGCAUUGCACGUGAGAUAGAAAUGGGAAAGCCCCCACACUGAGAAGAAUAAUUGAAAUAAUUGAAUUAAUGAGACUUUUCGCUUGAACCAACAAAAUUCAUUCCAACAGACGUUUGGUUGACUAAACGAAUCAUAGGGUUGCUAGGAGACGAGUUAUGUCAAUUGAUUCAAUGAUCGCGGUUUGGUUAAUAAACAUAUCAAUACAACUUAUCGUUGUACUAAUUCGUUAAAUAAUUCGUUCAAUAGAUACAAUAUUUCUCAUAAAGAGCCGGGUAACCGCCGAUUUCACCGAUGUAACUGCAUUUUUUCUCAGUGCGGACAUGCGCUUAAUGUGAGACGUUGUUUGGUCCUUAAAUACAGAUAUUGAAACUUUUAACUUGUAAAUCCUCUUUUCUCGAAAGGUAGCUUACUCGUACAAUAGAGAGAGCGUUGAAAGUGAGUCGAAUUUUGCACCAAUACGCCUGGAAGGCGCUCGGUGUUACUCUCAGAAAGUAUCGAUUUAAUCCGAGUAUAAGCGAGCCACACGAAUAACUGAAGAAAAUCCGAGUAAGAACCUACCGAAUAUUCGCGGCCAGACAUGACAAAAUGCGACGAGUAGACGAUGUCGCGCGUAAUUGCCGCUUUAAAGGGAGGAAAUCACGGACGGACAAGGGGACGCUAGUCAACAAGGAGGACGCUGACGUUUAUAUCGGGAUCUAUUUUUCCUGCCCCGGGGCAGUGAGCUUAAUUGCUUUUCUCCCGUGCGCCUUCUAAUUAAGUCUUCAAUGUCCCGCGAGGCGAAGAACUGGUCGAAUGCAUAAUGCAUUUCAGGGGGACCGACGUCCUUUCUUGCUGUCUCCUUUGAAUCCCUCAUCGCGACUUUCCUUCAUCCUCGCUGUUCUCGCGAGUCCGCGGCUAAUGGCCGAAGUUCGCCGUCGUCGUUUCGACGAUGCCGGUGCAUUCUCGAUUGAAUUAUAAUUAAUGCCAUGCGCCAUGCGCGCCUCGGCGCCGUGAACUAACAACAGCCGGAGAAACUUGCGAGGCGCUCCCGGAGACGCGGGAAUGAUCGAUCGCGAAUAAUCACUGUGCGUCUUCGCUCUGUCUGUCGCGCCUCGCACGACUGUUUUUCCGUGACAUCCGGACAAUCCCCGAUAUUAGACGCGCGUCUCUCCACAAUCGCGUCGAUUUACGCGAGGGACUUUCCCCUCGUGAAAAAAAAUUUGCCUCGGCGCAAUUAAUACGACUUUAACAAAUGGUCCGGUGAAAAGAGGAGAAAUUUCCGCUAGCUAGCUGGCUAACUAUACAUUCGUGAAAGCGCGAAGACUCGAUUACGAGGGAAACACAAAAAAGUUGGACGCACGAUAUUUUUGUUUAAUUUGUGGAAUUACUCCAAUUAUCCUGCUCCCAUUUUCCCUUCCUCCGCCCUCUCUCUUUCUCUCUCUGUCUCUCUUUCUCUCUCUUCGCUGUGAACUUAUUUAUUAUUACUUAGAAGAAAGAAUAGAGAUUAAUGGCUCGCAGUCACGGUGUGACUGAAAUCGGACCGUUCAGGCGAAUUUAUAUAACGAUUCGCUAAUAUAUCUAUGUCUCAGUGAAAUGUAUUUAUAUAUUGCCGUUAUCUUUGCUACACGACUGGCGAUAUCGAGGUGGGUGUCGGAUUUAUCGCCGGGGCGGUGUGUGAUUACGAACAUCCAGCUAAAUCACAAUCACACGCUGCCUCGAGCGACCACUACGGUGCAAUUCACUUCGCGAUUUUAUAUAUAUAUAUAUACACACAUAUAUGCGCGCGCGUGUGUGAGCGUGUACGAAUGUAGCGCUCGCGGAAAUAGAUUCCGAAACGAAAACUAAAAGAUCCUCUCGAAGCGGGACCGUCGUGGAGCGCGUACGUCGAGCCGCAUGCCGCUCACGUACGCUGAAAGUGUUGACUACCUGGAAAUCCCUUCGACGAGGCCGUUACAUCUCUUAUGCAUACGCAAUUCUCGCGGGCGGAAUCUACCUCCUCUUCCUCGCAUAAAUACCACUGACGUGUGGUCUACGCGCCGUCAAAGAGGUCACGACGGUUCCGCGUUUUGAACGACGCGCGAUACCCGAUCGAGGGAACACGCGGCCUCGAAAAAAAUACGCGCGGGGUUUACUCGAUAAAUAUCGAAUGCGAGAGAUACGCGCAGACCGACGCGAUGGUUGCAGCACUUUUUAGGUCGAGUCAGCUCGGAUUUCCGAUCGCACACUGACCGACAUAUUCGCGCAUCGCGACUGUCGACUAACUGUCGAGGGAAACGUCAACGAUACCCGCCGUAUUAUUCGCGGUAGCGUUUCUCCAUUCUUUCUUCUCUUCUCCCCCUUUAGAAAAUAGCGCCGCGGCGCUUGAGAAAUUUCGCGUCGCGAUAUGUAAAUGCAUAACCAGCUUCGCGCGGGACGUCUCCCAUUUCCAUUCGGAUCCCGUCGGGGGUUGAUAGGGCCGUAACUUAUUUCUGGCAAGUACUUUUUUGCGAAAGUUCGCGCGCUCGUCGCCGAGUGCAUUAUGCAUGCUCGGACUUUGUUACGCUCCUCGCUCUUUGUAACCGAUUGUUGCACGUGCGCGACGGGAGUUCCGGCGCGCAAAAUUUCGCGUCUUAUUCGGAUGAUUCCGCGUCGCGGAACGGAGAAAGACCGAUUCGCAGCGAACGGCUGUCCGUCCGAGGGCGACGUCUUUGUGCGUAACGGUACGCUUUAUUGCGUGAUAAUCACAUAAUGGCACGAAUUGGCCGCGUCAAUUAAAGCUGGCACGAAGCCGUCGUGCUGAAUUCUUUGUCCGCUCGGCAGUCAGUCACGAGGCGAGGCCGAGGGAAUUAUUUAUCCACUGCAAUAGCCUCUCCUCGAAGCGAACAACUCCGCAACGUCGACAUGGAAUUCGGUUAACCGCGAAUCCACAAGGUAAACGUGCCAAUGCCUGAACGCUAAUAACACUGGUACCUAUCUCUGGACGUUUUCAUUGUUUUGAUCCUUAAAUACGAAUAUUUUACCGUAAUUCUACAAGAAUCAUUCAAUCCACAUGAAGUUUCGAGAAAAAUGAAGAUGAAAAUUUCGUGAGUGAUUUACGAAAUAUAGAUAGCGUUGAGGUCCUUCGCAAUUGUUCAAGAAACCAAGUAUGAUAAAUUUUCUUCUCUUUAAGGGUAUUUAUUGAUAAGCAUAACAUUUAAAAACUGAGUAAAAAGACGCAACUGAUAAUUUAGAGAUUCAAGUAAAUAUGUAAAUAUUAGUACCCACCAAGUAAAAAUUUACUGUUCCUUAGAUAUUUUUCUCUCAGUGUAUUUUACGUUGUGUAAAAGUUUAAAUACACGUAUUUAGGAACCAAAACAGCGUUUGUGAUGCCAAUGUUAUUAGUGUCCAGCUAUCGGUACUCUUAUAUGUUACCGAGGAAGUGCUCGGAGAAAAAAGAAGCGCGCUUCAAAGCGCGGUGUAUUGCGUCGACGGUCGCGGGGGAUAGACGGAAGUCUCGGCGGUUUCCGGCACCGUUAGAUCGAUUUGUUCUCACAGUUAUGCAAAGGCGGCGUAACGGUUGGGAAAUGCGCGGAAAAAAAUGGCAUCGAUUUCAUCGUUGAAGCAGCGGCUCGAUCGGACGCACUCGGGAGUAUUCAAUUUUUCGGUCUGUCGCGCCGCGUGAUUGCCGUGCUUCUCCUCCGAGAAGUAUAAAAUCGAUUCGGAAACGCCGAUGCAACCUUGUAUAAUCGGUUACGAGGGUACUUCCGCACACGCGCGCAUCAAGCUUUCCCCGAAUUCGACGAGAGUUACGCAAGCGCGAUGACGAGAAUCAUCUUUGCGACGAAAUAGACUCGUCAGAGGCACAGACUUCUAUAUAAUAUCUAGACUGCUAAAUAGGUAUAGUUUAGUUAAGGAUUAUUUGGUCGGAAAAAUAUCGCCCGCCAUCCUUGAAAGGACCUCACAUACCUGAGUGGCAAUGUAUGAGUGGGAGGAAGCAAUAUGCUAUAGUGCGUAUCAUUACUACUCCCAUAUGAUACGGUUCUUUUAAAGAUGGCCGCUCGAUAUUUUUCCAACCACUCGCUAAAUACGGCUAUUAGCAAGUUUAUUACGGCUAUUAGCUAGUUUAUAUAUAGAAGUUUGUGGUCAGAGGACGCUGCACUGAGAGAAAAAUAUAGUUGUCUCUUUGGCGUCAGCUAUACUCUUUUGUGAUUUUAACCACAAAAAUAGUUAGAAAAACCAUCAUUUUAGUAAGUGUCAUUAGAAAAAUGGUUCUUCUAAUUAUUUUUUUGGUUAAAAUCACAAAAAAGUAUAGUUGACGUCAAAGACACCUAUAUUUUUCUCUCAGUGUGGUCGCGCUCUCUUAAAGACGAUCAUUCGCACAUAUUUUUCUCGAUAUUUUCGCCGAGUCGCAUGAAAAUUCGAAUGGCGAGAAUUAACUUAUCGGAUUAACAAACACUCGAUCUCGCCAAAUUCCGCUGAUCCGCCGAAUUCUUCUCGAUUAUCCCGGCUGAUCCUGAAAUGUCGCGUUCAGGACGAUCGUGGUGCGUAUUAUGCGCGCAUUUUUCGCGGAGAGUGCGCGAAUGGCCGCGGGUGGCUCUGCCAGUCGCUGUUCUCGCGAUCGCUUAUUACCCUCUCCUGUGCCGCGCACAGAGUCGGUCACGAUGAUCUUCAACCGGUCGCCUCGACCGCCCUUCUCCCCGCAUCAUCUCGUCGGAUUUUUCCUCGCUUUUCUUGCCGUGUUCUCUCAUCUCUGUACGCUAUUAUUCCGCGUUUCUCGAGAGCAAUUCCCUCCAUAGCUUCCUUCGUUUCGCGUCGGUUUUUUUAGUUUGUCGUAUGGCGAAACUUAGAAAGACUCGACAAGAUCGAAAGAAAUCGCGACGUGACGUCCCUCAGCGUCACUACAACAUCCCGAGAACUGCGUCGGCGAGAUGUAAAAUCCUAUAUAAAAAAUAUAAUCUCAUUCUUGACGGAAUCCUCUUAUAUAUAUGUUACGUUACGGUUAUGUUGCACUAGCUUAAACUGGCGUUGUUCGAGAUUCUUACAUCUAGAACAAAUCUAAAUUAAUUAAAAUGUCUAAAUUAAAUUAUCACAUAGUCAAGGGGACGAAAUCAGGUGAUGGUGGUGAGAUGUGCAGGUAAACUAUAUUUUUCUAGAUAAUAACACAAUGUAAAAUAUGAUAAAAAAGGGAUAUUCUACUAAAACCAAAAGGAAAAUAUCCCAGUACUUCACAAAAAAGAACUCUGGUCGCAAGUUGUUAUUUCUAACUUUUUUUAGAAUUUAAUAUUUGCUUUAAUAUAAGUUGAGUUUUUUGUGAGGUUAUUUUUCUGUUUGUAUAAAAAACUGGAGAUAAUAAUAAAUAAUUUUCUAUAUUCACGCGAAGAGAGAGGUAAGUUUGUUUGUUCUGACAUGAAAUUCGCGCUUGUUACAAACGAGUCAACGCGUAUUGGUUGAAGGAAACGGAAUUUUUUAUUCUCAGAAUCAAACUUGGGUCAUAAGAAAUCUUGUGUCUUUCGAGCAAAACGCGUUGGUUUGUUUAUCAAACUUCAUGUCAAUGCAAUCAAAGUUUCCCUGCGGAAACUGUUACCGGAGGAGUAUAUUUCCCUUUUAAUGUUAUGCCUGGAAUAUCUUUUCCCUAGUUUUAGAAUAAUUCUCUUGAGGUCAAGAGGAUUCCGUUCACGGAUGCGAUUGUAUUAUUUUGGCUGCGAGAGAGAUACAUUGACGACGACUAAAUUGAUAUUCCUCAAUGUGAUCACUUCGUCCGCGAGCGAACGACAAUUUCGUCGACGUUCUGUUUAUUCGCGUACACAGGACGAUCUAUUAAUAAAGAGUUCGGUACAAGUUGCCGCGAAAUACCUCGGAAAGUUCCUCUCAGACGUGGCUAGUGACUCGCGUCGGCUGGUAAUGAAGCGAAGCGCCCUAAGUUUUGUCGCGACGUAGGUAGUUGGGAGAAGUCGUGUCUCGCAUAGUUAAAAGUUUCAAAGACGCUUACGUACAGCGUGGAAUUCCGUUUGAUAGUCGGGUCCUACCACCUCGAGCGUUUCGCGCGGUUGCUCGCUCGCUCGCUCGUUCACUCGUCUGUCGGUAACUUGGCUUUCUGCCUCUCACAGUGACAGGCUUCGCUUUGCCGUCGGUACGAUAGCGGAUACUUGACUCGUCAUAGCGCCCGAGGGGCAGUGUGAUUAUAGUCUAAUGACAACAAGAUCGGAGGACGAAGGUACGCCGAGUCAAAUGCUUUCUCUGUCACGCGAGGUACUCCAGGAGGGCGACGUAUACUGAAAGAAAAAUUAUAUUAAAGUCAACAAAUAUUUCCUUGAUGAGUACCAUUAACAUACUUAAAUCUACAUUCUCUUUAUUUAAACCUAAUAUUGUUUAUUUAAAUCAGGUAAACGAUAUUUGGCAAUUAUGUAGAAUAAGGACUUUUCCGAAUUUUGAUAUUUUUUGCUGCAAUCUUGAUAAAUAUCUUUGUUGUUAUUCCAACAGUGAUAAUCAAAUGGGGGAGCCUAAAAAAUAUGUAAACUAUCUAUUUUUAACUAUUUUUUCUAACAUAUGCUUGUAGAAUAUCAUAUCCCUUAAGGUUUAAGACUGAAAUUGCAACAAAGUACUGAAAAGAUUAGAACAUUUAUUUAUUAGUGACAAACACUACUUUAUUGGUAAUAUAAAAAAAUAAUUUUUACAAAAAUAAAUAUUGAAUUUUUGUUUAAAUUGGAGACCGGGUCUUCAAAUUGUACAUUGGGUUUUUAAAUCGUAUUUUAAAGAUAUGCAGUCAUAAACAAUAAAAAAGUAUUAAUUAAUUAUUAAUUAACGCCAUAUUACAGUAAUAUAACAAUAAAACAAAACAAAAAUAAAAGUACGUAAGUAAUACAACUAGUAUCAUCCAUUUUACUAUAUAACACAAAUAUUGCUUGAAACAACAUGUUUCAACAACAUUUUUAACCGAUUUGGCUAAUUCUUUUAUUAUGAAUCAUGCCUGUUUCAUUUGUCACCGCGGUUUUCUUCGUCAUCGCGGUUUAAUUCAUUAUCGAGCGCAAUGAUUUAAAAAAUCUGAAGGUUUUAGCCGUCGCUCAUUGUUUGUUAAAAAAUUAUUAACAAAGAAAGUAUGAAUGUAACGCAAUUUUUCAAGACAGUCCUAUAAAAUACACACUUUUCCUUUCACUUUUGUGAAAAAUUCUCACUCUUUAGCUUAAGUACAACAGACUUGGCUCCCUCCCGACCGCGGUACGGGGGUCUGGGGGGCGUAGCCCCCCAGUUACACGGCUAAUGACAGGCUUCUUCAUGCAUCUUUUUUAUUAAUAUCUCGGAAACUGUAAGCGACCGCCAUAUAGCUAUGUUUAUAUUAUUGAAAUAUGAUAAAAAAUAAAAAAGGUGCCUGUCUCUAGCCGUGUAACUGGGGGACUACGCCCUUCAGACUCCCCGUAUCGCGGGGGAGGGGGGGGGGCGCAAAUCUGUUGUAUUUUAGCUAAAGUUACUUAACUUAAAGUUACUUAACUUAAAGUUUAACAAUCGCAAAUUAAAAUGGAGAUGCCACAAACCUCGAAAAGCUACGUAGAGAGAAAUAAUUAAAAACAUUGAAAGGUUACGUACUUUUCGGCUCCCCCAUUUGAUUAUCAAUGUUGGAAUAACAACAAAGAUAUUUAUCAAGAUUGCAGCAAAAAAAUAUCAAAAUUCGGAAAAAUCCUUAUUCUACAUAAUUACCCCAUAUAUUUGAUUUAAAUAAAAGAUAAUGCAGAUUUAAGUAAAUAUGUUAAUGGCAUCCAUCAAGGAAAUAUUUGUUGAUUUUAAUGUAAUUUUUCUCUCAGUGUAGGAGAAACAAAAAAAGAUAGAGAAAGAAAGUGAAAGAAAGAUAGAGGAUGCUUUGAUUACACACGAUCGAUUCUCCUUCAUAAUUUUUUUUCUACCAAGUGGACAAUUAUCCAAGAAAAGCAUCUGACUCUCUACUAUCCUCCUUUACUAAUCCUGACUUCAUCCCUCUUGCAGCAAUGGUCAGUCUAUUUCGUACGGCUUGAGCGGGAUGAGAAAGCGCGAAGAAAGGGUGUAAGAGACAUUUAUUGCGAAUAAAACGGUUGAGUGAUUUACUUUUAGAUACUUUUGGUACUUCUGAUACAUCGAUCAUAAAUAAUUUCUACUGAACGGUCGUGUUCACCGAAUGUAGUCAUUUUUCAAUCGAGCAACCGCGAUAGGACGUUGCGUCUUGUUGUGGCCGCGUGCCAGUUCGCGCGGUGUAAACAGAAUGGAGUCGUUUGCGGGCGGUGGGAAAUCGGGUCGCCGUCCAUCUCAGCGCGCACCACCCUCCGUUCGCCCCCGAUCGCGAAAUCCAAACAGCGUCGCGGGGAAGGUCAGCCGGGAAAGCUCCCUUGUUGUUCUGCUGCAGACGAAAAGUCUGGCGCCGAUGUGACGGCGAUGCGACGACAACUACGCGGAUGCAUCCCGUCCAGGGAUGCUAGCUAGCCUCAGUGCUCGUUCUCCUCUUACGCGCUGUGCACCGUCUCUUCUCCAUCUGGCUCUCCUCCUCAAGUCUCAGCGUCCUCGAGUCUCAGCCCGCGUCUCUGCGAACAGUUCUCAUUUCGCGAAAUCCAACGCACCGGAUCUUGUUAUCCCGCGGACGGCUCGCUCACCUUGCGAGACUCUUCGGCGAAUAGAAGGAACGAAAUAUCAUACGAACGGUGACUUGUUUGAGGCGAGCAUUCCUGCGAAAAGCACGAGCGACAUCACAUACACGUCGUUUAGUUUUAGCGGACUAGAGGAAUCGAAAGAGACUCUGAAUGUAACAUAAAGGGAUGCGGUAGUUUUCCGCCUUAUAUAUCGUUCCGGGCGACACGCCAGGAAGACGUACAACGUUCGACGGUCGCUGCGACGAUAAAAGUUCUUUCGGCCGACAAAGGGCUGAAACAGACCUUUUUCACCGGUGCUUUCACGUUCCGCGGUAGCGUUCUGUCAACUGCGGCGGUACCGAGCGAGAAAGUCUCCUCGAGAUGUUGAAGUUUCGAGCAUCCGGCCAACGGAAGUGCGGCGGCACGGUGAGAAUCUUAAGCGUCUGUGACUGAAAUCUCAGCGAGGAGAUGUCGAAGAAAAGUUAAUUCUUCACCGCGGAAAAAAAUUUGGGAGAUCGCGGUGACGUUCGUCACGUUCUCUUAUUAAAGUAUAUACGGGGAGAUUUUGCGUGGGCUCUUCAACUAUGUGCUAACUCUUCUUUUAGGAAUUUUUGCAUGCAAAGCCAAAGUUUGGAAUAUUCACUUUCGGAAUAGUUUGAGAGUGUUUUCUGAGUUUAAAGCUAUCUGAAUAUCUUGUCCCAGAUAUUUCAUGGCGCUACACAAAGUCUCGCGGCACUAUGCGUUGACCAUGUAUUUCAUCGCGUCCGAGUUCGCGGUAAUUUGCCGUCAUAACUUCGCCUGUGCAGUCGCUUUCGGACAGCGUCGCGCGUCGACGUCUGGGAAGUUGCCUGCCUCCAGGUGCAUCGAGAGACCACAGCGGUUCUCAGCCGUUUUUUCGUGCACGAAACUCGCUCGUCAUCGGCUAUAUCACAUCGUAUCGAUUUGAAACGUCAAAGCGAUCACAGACUACAACUUUUAGACGCAAAAGCUCUAAAUUUCUUGUUGGAAUUUCACGAAAAACUUAUUGUUAUUAUUUUAUUGUAAAGUCUCAAUAAUUGACUAAUUAUUUUUUUAGGACACAAACUAGCAACAAUAUUCGGAAAUUUAUA
RNA transcript from Odontomachus brunneus, 13080 nucleotides. RefSeq lists it as uncharacterized. The record is from RefSeq and is a predicted model, not a curated record. NCBI's taxonomy places the organism in Eukaryota, Metazoa, Arthropoda, Insecta, Hymenoptera, Formicidae. The transcript has 2 exons.